RNAcentral lists this ribosomal RNA (465 nucleotides) under Vreelandella stevensii. RNAcentral describes it as "partial 16S ribosomal RNA". It matches the Rfam family "Bacterial small subunit ribosomal RNA", at positions 338 to 795 of the family's 1533-position model. The record is from RNAcentral. Lineage: Bacteria; Pseudomonadati; Pseudomonadota; Gammaproteobacteria; Oceanospirillales; Halomonadaceae.
CCUACGGGAGGCAGCAGUGGGGAAUAUUGGACAAUGGGCGAAAGCCUGAUCCAGCCAUGCCGCGUGUGUGAAGAAGGCCUUCGGGUUGUAAAGCACUUUCAGUGGGGAAGAAAGCCUUGGGGCUAAUACCCUCGAGGAAGGACAUCACCCACAGAAGAAGCACCGGCUAACUCCGUGCCAGCAGCCGCGGUAAUACGGAGGGUGCGAGCGUUAAUCGGAAUUACUGGGCGUAAAGCGCGCGUAGGCGGUCUGAUAAGCCGGUUGUGAAAGCCCCGGGCUCAACCUGGGAACGGCAUCCGGAACUGUCAGGCUAGAGUGCAGGAGAGGAAGGUAGAAUUCCCGGGGUAGCGGUGAAAUGCGUAGAGAUCGGGAGGAAUAACAGUGGCGAAGGCGGCCUUCUGGACUGACACUGACGCUGAGGUGCGAAAGCGUGGGUAGCAAACAGGAUUAGAUACCCCUGUAGUC